Drosophila simulans is the source of this 1404-nucleotide long non-coding RNA. RefSeq lists it as uncharacterized. The transcript is spliced from 3 exons. Lineage: Eukaryota; Metazoa; Arthropoda; Insecta; Diptera; Drosophilidae. The record is from RefSeq and is a predicted model, not a curated record.
GCACAUCCUGUAAAGCGAGAACGGAACGGGAAUGAGUUACGUAGUAGAACUGGGAACGAGAACGGAACGCGGUACGCGUGGCAAAAUUAGUUUGGAUCGUUGUCAUCUCUCAUCGCAGAGAGUUGUCGUGUGUGUGGGAUUGUGCAGUUCGGAUUUGGAUCGCUGGUCGUGGAAUUUGGGAUAGGAAUCCAGACGGGCGGAGGCAACACGUGGGCCGUGAGAUCGACGGGCGUUGAUUAGAUAAACAUUCAUGAACAUAGAUAUGCCCCAUGUUUGUGGGUGCGGAGGGGGUGUAAUCAGAAUGCGGAUGACGUAGUCGAUGAGUCAAACGGAGAGUGAGAGUGACAAAAACCGAAAUGAAAUGCACAUAAAUAAGCAUUCGAAGAGGGCAAAAGAGAGAGCGAGAGCCCGGCGACUGCAGCAAUGGCAAUGCCUUGAUGCCCCUCACGUAAGCCUUUCCAUUAUGGAUGCAGGACAUGCACUCUACUGCACACACAUACCUUCAGAAAACUCCUGGCCAAGUGUGUGCAAUCAGGAGCGAAACGAGGACAUUGCAGGCCAAAAACAAAAUCAAUGAAAUUUUCCCUACUUCCUUUGGCAGGAGGCAAAAAGAGAAAGGCGAGGGGGUAGGGUAUUGAAAGAGGGGUGGCCUGGUUUGCUCGUCUGGCCGAUGUUUGCCUUUCGGCUUCGUCCUGCAGGCGAGACCAAAGUUAUUAGUCCGCAACACCUUUUGGCGUUGCCGCAUUAGCCAAACAGCAUAAAAAAUGCAAGAAAAAAACACCAUGCAUUUCAGCAAACAGACAGCUAAUGGUUUUUCUUUCGAUGCCGUCUGAAAAGGAAAAGUUUUGCCUUCAGAUAGGGAAAAUAUUUGCACUGAGGCAUGAAAGACUGCAACAUUUCCUCCUUUUACCCAGCUGUUAUAUCAGAACGGUUAUGAUGAUGCGCUCAUCGUUCGACAGUUAUUUUAAUAUAAUUAACCUUGGUCACGCCACUUGGCGAAGUGGGUUACGAAAAAUUUGCAAGCCAAACACAAGCAAGAAAAUUGCGCAAACAAGUGACCCCGAGUAGUAAUUAAACCGCCAGCCGCACAACAAGUUACUCAUCUAAUCAAUGAAGUGAGCGUGGUCACUGAACCCCAUAAACAUCUUGUGUUGCGUAAGAUAAGACGUGAAAACUGUUGACUUCUCAUAACUAUAAUUAAUAACCAAUGAAUAAUACUCAUAUUCAAGUCAUGAUGUUCGUCUUAAAUCUUCUCUGAGCGCAUAAAGAAAUAAUUAAAAAUAUGCUAUUACAAAGAUAUUGAUAAAAGUAAUGUAGAUUUGAAAAGUUUUGGAUAUUCUUUUUAGAGCUAUAAUGAAUAAUGAAAGCCAAUAAAACCAAUGCCCAAUAGGUGGCAGAAAAGUU